CGCAGCCCUAAAAAACAAAACAAAACAAAACAAAAAAAACCCAAACUUAUAAGUAAGUUCCCUCAUGGAUCAGCAGAUUAAGGAUCCAGUGUUGUAACUCCUGUGGCUCUGGUCCUAUCCCUGGCCCAGGAACUUACACACACUGAGAGUAUGGCAAANAAAAAAAAAAAAAAAAAAAAAAAAAAAAAAAAAAAAAAAAAAAAAAAAAACUUAUGUAAAAAUUGAUGCUCAGCUAUGUACACUUAAAACCUCAAAGCAAUGCUGAGAAAAACUAACAAAGACCUAAAGAAAUGGAGAGAUAUACCAUGUUCAUGGAUCAGAAAAAAUCAAUACCAUGAAGACAUCGGUUCUCCCCAAAUUGCUACAUAGAUAUGAUGCAACCCCAAUCAACACCUCAGCACGACCUUUUUUGAGGACAAACUGACAAGCUUAUUCUAAAACUCAUAUGAAAUGAAAUGCAAGCCAGGCAGGGGCAAAUCUUUGAGAACCAUGGAAACCACGCUUCCUGGCUUGGAGUUUUUCUCGCAGGCACUGAGAAGGCAUUUCAACAUUAAGCAGAAGGACGACAUGACUGACCAGUGUUUUAGCUACAUCACACUGAAAUCCCAUGAGCAGCUUCCCGGCGGAUGCAGGAGCAGAGCAUGGACUGUGUGGCAGUGAGCGUGUGCAUUACCUACACCCUGAGAAGGAAUGAGGAGAUGGGCAGCCUCCUCUGGAGAGCAUCUUCAGGAGGAUGCAGGCUUCCAAGAAGAAAGAUGGAGAGAAGCUCUGUACACAGAAGGCAAGUUCAGCAAAUGUUCACAGCUUCCAAGGGCCUCCCUCAUAAAAUGUCCACACUAAGUGAAACAGUUUCUUCACCUUGAGAAUCCCAGCUGUUUAUCAUGGUGAAAGUCCAGUGAAUUGGGAGCCCAAGAGAAAACUGCUCUGCACACAGAAUUUAGCAUUGACAGCUCUCACAGUCACUUUCAUGCACUUUGUACUCACAAAAGUAACCCCCUCGGGGCUGCGUGAACUUUGAGAAGUUCUGUGUUUCCAGCAGGGCCCAGAUUAAGCAGUUUUUGAUUAUUCAAUUGCUGACUGAUUUGAUCUGAGCUAACUGUUCAGGCUUAGUUGCCUCACUCAGAAAAGCCCUUGGGACAAAAACCUGCGUCUACUCUGCACAGGCCACAAAACCUACAAACAGAAAUUACAACAGGCCUUGAGGUACGCUCAGCACACUCCUGCAGGCCCACGGCUCAUUCUAAAGUCUGAAUAUACAAACCUGAAAACGUCCCAAGAAUGCAGUGAACGCUCUGAAGUUUGCCGGUAUGUUGACAAAACCCACCCCUAAUAAAUACCUGCCUCCCUGAGAAAGGUUUGCCA
This 1362-nucleotide long non-coding RNA is filed under the name Sus scrofa (pig). RNAcentral describes it as "lncRNA (ENSSSCG00055023927.1)". The record is from RNAcentral. Lineage: Eukaryota; Metazoa; Chordata; Mammalia; Artiodactyla; Suidae.